Long non-coding RNA from Oxyura jamaicensis (ruddy duck), 1934 nucleotides. RefSeq lists it as uncharacterized. NCBI's taxonomy places the organism in Eukaryota, Metazoa, Chordata, Aves, Anseriformes, Anatidae. The record is from RefSeq and is a predicted model, not a curated record. The transcript has 3 exons.
GCCUCCGCGCCUUUUUUUUUUCCUUAAUUAUGAUUCUGGGAGGGGGGGGCGGGGGGGGGGGGGGUGUUAAGUUUUAUGCAUUUAAGGAGGUGAGGCAGCACCCGCCCCAAAACUCGCCCCCUGCCCUGUCACCAAGAGCUGAGUCAGCGCCUCAGGACCAGACGAGGUGGUGGUGGUGACACUGGGACCAGAUGAGAUGACACUGGGACCAGAUGGCUGCUGCCGGUGUGCCGCUAGGUCACUCACUACCUCUCUGCCAGCGCCGCAUGACAGACACUAAGCUCUCAGCACACCGGCAUGGAAGUCUGCGAGAAGACCUCAGAGGAAACCGCAGUUUUUAUGGUGGAAUACAACUACGAAUGCCAAGAAAACACUUUGCAAAGCUACCAGCGAUUCAACUCUCCAUUCAGACUUGGUCGCUCAGAAUGAACAUCAAGAGGCUGCAAAAAUCUGGAUAAGCAUUCCUAAUGUCCAUGCCAUCACAGAGCAAUGAACUAUAACCAGCUUUAAGCCUCUGUGCAGGUAAAUUGCAUUGUCAAGUUCAGUUAGAGUAUUAAGUUUGGAUUUCUACCCUCAGUGACUUGUAACUAUCUUCUUCCAAAGAAGUAUCAGCCCAAAUUUUACCUAAUGAAAACACUAGUAGGAAGCAAAAUGCUUUUCAGGUUCAUCUGACAGGUAGUUGAGCAACUCUGUGUGUACCUGCUCAGAGUACAUACUUCUUUAUGUACCCAUAUGAACAUACAAUGCUAUGGAAUGUAAAGAAGUAUGUAUUUUUGGCAGGCACGGAACAACCAGUAAGAGGAAACUAAACAGCUGUUGGAAGAAACAGGCUUCCCCCUUGUUUGAAUGACAUUCAUGUGACAAAUUAACUUGCUGAGGGGUCAGCUGGUAUUGCCAAAAUAACACAUACUUAUUAGGACCAAAUCACAAAACGUUUAAUGAAGUGACUGCAAACGUGGGUAGAAAAAGUUGGUGGUGGAUUAUAAGCAGAACAUUAGUUGUACAUACAAAAACUCAAAAUGAGGCUGGAAACAAUUGAAACAUGCUAAUUAAGAUCACAGCAUAGCAGCAAAAAUUACAAUUACCAGUACACCUCAUUCAAAAGACCCUAAGCAAACCUUAAAAGCCAAAUCAAUUACCAAGAUGUAUCUCAUUUAACCAAGCCAUUAUUUUAUUAAUCACAGCAAGUUCCGUGUGCUUAAGACAGCAGGUUUUAAAUUUAUAUCAACCACAGUAUUUAACCUCCAGGCUACAACUAGGAAACAAGCAGAACCAGCUAAGAAAUUCAGCCUGUGAUUUCGAGAAAAGGAUAAUCAGAAUUACAGAAUUAUGUGCCACUUAAGUUAGAAUUUUCUCCAAAGCAGCAUUCAGUAUGCUCACCGAGCUCUGCGAUACAAACUGCUCAGUCAGGUUUAUGCACAGAAAGUGACAAUACAGAGAUUUCUAGGCCACAGUUCCUAGUCAGCAGAUUAAAGCUAUUGACAGAUUCCUAAAUGAAAACACAAAUGACAACUAAUACUUAGAAGUUCCCUUAACUACUAUUUUCAAAUGAACUGAAUUUACUGUAAAGCUAGAUAUAAGGAAAUUGGCCAAGCAAAGAUGAUUUUAGAGCAUCCAGAAAAUUGUAAGACCUCUACGAGAAAUAUCAAAGCAUUGGGGAAAAAGUCCCACAGCAGUUUCGAGCUCCAAAAGCAGUAUUAAUUAAAAUAUACCAGCACAUACCAUCCCUAUGAUGCUCAUUAUAAAAUACAGAAAUAAGGAAAAUAUAGAGGAAAGCUCCCAGCUCACCAGUCCAGCAAUUCCUAUUCAUAAUAGCAGCCUUCUAAAAACAGUUACAUGAUACAUUCAUGAAAAGUAGACACAUUUGUCCCAGAUUAAAUAUCCUAACUCUACCCAUGUACUUAAUAAAAAGUCUGGGAGGAGGAAAAAUAACA